Molecule: small RNA, 30 nt
Filed under: Bombyx mori (domestic silkworm)
Lineage: Eukaryota; Metazoa; Arthropoda; Insecta; Lepidoptera; Bombycidae
Description: ovarian small RNA-6570
Source: RNAcentral
UAUCCGAAGCCCGCCUAGAUGGCGCCGGUA